AUGAGAAUCACAUGGGAUUCUUAUUAAAAUGCAGAUUGAGCUGAGGGAUGAGGCCUGAGAUUCUGGAUUUUUAACCAGCUCCCAGGUAAAGAUGAU
Molecule: microRNA precursor, 96 nt
Filed under: Marmota monax (woodchuck)
Lineage: Eukaryota; Metazoa; Chordata; Mammalia; Rodentia; Sciuridae
Source: RNAcentral